This 433-nucleotide ribosomal RNA is filed under the name uncultured bacterium. RNAcentral describes it as "partial 16S ribosomal RNA". It matches the Rfam family "Bacterial small subunit ribosomal RNA", at positions 29 to 507 of the family's 1533-position model. The record is from RNAcentral.
AACGAACGCUGGCGGCAUGCCUAACACAUGCAAGUCGAACGAGACCUUCGGGUCUAGUGGCGCACGGGUGCGUAACGCGUGGGAACCUGCCCUUAGGUUCGGAAUAACUCCCCGAAAGGGGUGCUAAUACCGGAUAAUGUCUUCCGACCAAAGAUUUAUCGCCUUUGGAUGGGCCCGCGUUGGAUUAGCUAGUUGGUAGGGUAGAAGCCUACCAAGGCGACGAUCCAUAGCUGGUCUGAGAGGAUGAUCAGCCACACUGGGACUGAGACACGGCCCAGACUCGUACGCGAGGCAGCAGUGGGGAAUAUUGGACAAUGGGCGAAAGGCUGAUCCAGCAAUGCCGCGUGAGUGAUGAAGGCCUUAGGGUAGUAAAGCUCUUUUACACGGGAUGAUAAUGACAGUACCGGGAGAAUAAGCUCCGGCUAACUCCGUG